UACGUAGGUGGCAAGCGUUGUCCGGAUUUACUGGGCGUAAAGAGCGCGCAGGCGGUCGAUCAAGUCGCGUGUGAAAGCCCCCGGCUCAACUGGGGAGGGUCACGCGAUACUGAUCGACUCGAAGGCAGGAGAGGGUAGUGGAAUUCCCGGUGUAGUGGUGAAAUGCGUAGAGAUCAGGAAGAACACCGGUGGCGAAGGCGCUCUGCUAGGCCGCAACUGACACUGAGGGACGAAAGCUAGGGGAGCGAAUGGG
Molecule: ribosomal RNA, 253 nt
Filed under: uncultured bacterium
Lineage: Bacteria
Description: partial 16S ribosomal RNA
Rfam family: Bacterial small subunit ribosomal RNA
Source: RNAcentral